AGAGUUUGAUCCUGGCUCAGAAUGAACGCUGGCGGCAGGCCUAAAACAUGCAAGUCGAACGCUGUAGCAAUACAGAGUGGCGCACGGGUGAGUAACAUGUGGGAAUAUGCCUUUUGGUACGGAACAACGUCUGGAAACGGACGCUAAUACCGUAUGGUCCCUUCGGGGUAAAGAUUUAUCGCCAAAAGAUUAGCCCGCACUAGAUUAGCUAGUUGGUGAGGUAAGAGCUCACCAAGGCGACGAUCUAUAGCUGGUCUGAGAGGACGAUCAGCCACACUGGGACUGAGACACGGCCCAGACUCCUACGGGAGGCAGCAGUUAGGAAUAUUGGACAAUGGGCGCAAGCCUGAUCCAGCCAUGCCGCGUGAGUGAUGAAGGCCUUCGGGUUGUAAAACUCUUUAGCCGAUGAAUAUAAUGACUGUAGUCGGAAAAUAAGCCCCGGCUAACUUCGUGCCAGCAGCCGCGGUAAUACGAAGGGGGCGAGCGUUAUUCGGAAUCACUGGGCGUAAAGCGUGCGUAGGCUGCUUAGAAAGUUGGAAGUGAAAGCCCAGGGCUCAACCCUGGAAUUGCUUUCAAAACUACUAGGCUAGGAUUUGGGAGAGGAUAGCGGAAUUGUCAGUGUAGCAGUGAAAUGCGUAGAUAUUGACAGGAACACCAGUGGCGCAAGCGGCUAUCUGGACCAACAUCGACGCUGAGGCACGAAAGCGUGGGGAUCAAACAGGAUUAGAUACCCUGGUAGUCG
RNAcentral lists this ribosomal RNA (742 nucleotides) under uncultured bacterium. RNAcentral describes it as "bacterial SSU rRNA". It matches the Rfam family "Bacterial small subunit ribosomal RNA", at positions 8 to 796 of the family's 1533-position model. The record is from RNAcentral.